This 1468-nucleotide long non-coding RNA is filed under the name Setaria viridis. RNAcentral describes it as "long non-coding RNA (SVIR_LNC008657)". Lineage: Eukaryota; Viridiplantae; Streptophyta; Magnoliopsida; Poales; Poaceae. The record is from RNAcentral.
GGCGCCGCGCUGACCGAGCUACGACCCGCGAACACGAUCGACGGCCAUUGUCGCCGCUGCCGGUGUCCAGGUUCAACGCCGCCCAGGCUGCCGGUGUGCACCUGCAGCUUCCCGUCGCCGGUGUACUGUCGUUGUCGCCGCCAAAUGACCAACGCGGACCGCCACAGUUCAAACUUCAACGCCUCGCGAGGUGCCAAUGACGACGCCAGAUCUCUCGGCUUGCCGACGAGGUAUCUCGAUGUCGCCGCCCACAUCGGAUGGUAGGAGCGCCUCGCCUCCUUCCCGACACCGCUAGAUCUGGCGGUGGCGGCUGAACCACCGCUUCGCACUACCGGAAAAUGAAAUUUUGCCGAGUGUUUUUUUGCCGAGUGUUUUUUUGCCGAGUGCCUAUCUUAAAACACUCGGCAAACCUAUGCAAACCUCCACACUGCUGGAACUGGUCCAACUGCCAACUCCCGCGGCACAUAUUCAGAAAGCGGCAAUAUUGCUAACUGAUCCCUCCGUAUCAAAAUAAUUGUGUUGUUGACUUUUUUUCUACAACUUUGACCAUUCGUCUCAUUCAAAAAAUUAUGUAAGUAUCAUCUACUUUGUUCGUGACAUGCUUUACUAUUAUAGGUGUUUUAAAGAUGACUUAUCUCUUUAUAUGUUUACAAUAAAUUUUUGAAUAAGACGAAUAGUCAAAGUUGUAAGAAAAAUUCAACGUCGACAAAUAUUUCAAUAUGGAGGGUAGUGAUAUGGAGGGUAGUAGUUGCAAUAAACUUCCUUAUAACAGUUUCUGAAACUGUUCUUUGACGAUACAAAAUCUGACAAUUUAGCACACAUUUCCAAUCCAAACGCCACUUAAAUGCUCCUUACCACUGGAAUUGAAAAUACAGCUGAAAACUCUAGCUAAGACACAGAAUUGGACAGAAUAUAUAUAUAUAUAUAUAUAUAUAUAUAUAUAUAUAUAUAUAUAUAUAAGUGCUAGUAUAUAUUCAUAAAGUAGAAAAUCAUGUUAGUAAUGUAACCGAUAAAAAACAACUUAAUCUUACUUGAAGUAAAUCAGUAUUUCACGAGUACAGAGUACCUGACCUCUGUCCUAAGAAAGUGAACUUAGGGUGAGUUUGGUUGGUUGUAUCAUUUAAUUUAUGUAUAAAAUGGUUCAAAAUAUUAAUGAUCUUUUUAUUUAGUUGGGUGAAUUUUUAUUUGGCUGGGUGAAUUGUACCAACUCAUUCAGGAUGAAGCCAUCCCACUUAAUAUAUUAUUCUUGAACCAUAUGGUACAAGCAAAUUGGUUGAAUCCCACCAUCCAAAUCAUCCAUACAUGCAUUAUAUGUGCAUGCAACCAAAUACACCCUUAAUUUCUUCGUCUGUCGAAGCACAACACCGUACCUGACCUCUGUCCUGAGAAAGUGAACCACUUAAUUUCUGUGCUGACUGGUCCGUCAGUGGCCAUCUCAGCAUACGGUCCAGUCGUCUUCAACCUCCAC